RNAcentral lists this ribosomal RNA (484 nucleotides) under uncultured bacterium. RNAcentral's name for it is "partial 16S ribosomal RNA". It matches the Rfam family "Bacterial small subunit ribosomal RNA", at positions 30 to 507 of the family's 1533-position model. The record is from RNAcentral.
AUUGAACGCUGGCGGCAGGCCUAACACAUGCAAGUCGAGCGGAUGAAGGGAGCUUGCUCCUGGAUUCAGCGGCGGACGGGUCAGUAAUGCCUAGGAAUCUGCCUGGUAGUUGUGUAUAACGUCCUGAAACGGGCGCUAAUACCGCAUACGUCCUUAGGGAGAAAGUGGGGGAUCUUCGGACCUCACGCUAUCACAUGAUCCUAUGUCGGAUUAGCUAGUUGGCGGGGUAACGGCCUACCAAGGCGACGAUCCGUAACUGGUCUGAGAGGAUGAUCAGUCACACUGGAACUGAGACACGGUCCAGACUCCUACGGGAGGCAGCAGUGGGGAAUAUUGGACAAUGGGCGAAAGCCUGAUCCAGCCAUGCCGCGUGUGUGAAGAAGGUCUUCGGAUUGUAAAGCACUUUAAGUUGGGAGGAAGGGCAGUAAGUUAAUACCUUGCUGUUUUGACGUUACCAACAGAAUAAGCACCGGCUAACUUCGUG